Long non-coding RNA from Sceloporus undulatus (fence lizard), 205 nucleotides. RefSeq lists it as uncharacterized. The record is from RefSeq and is a predicted model, not a curated record. NCBI's taxonomy places the organism in Eukaryota, Metazoa, Chordata, Lepidosauria, Squamata, Phrynosomatidae. The transcript has 2 exons.
ACAAAGUAGAGUUUGGAAACAUAAUGUUUUGUGACUACUAGCAUUUCUUAUCUAGCUUUGACUGAAGGAUUCUGGGGGUUAAUCGUCCAAAACUGUUAUUUUUCAACCUCUGUAACAGAAUUCCCAAUAAAAUCAAGAUGAGAGAACUUUCUUCUGACAACAGUAUACCGGAUUGCAGCCAGAAAGCUCUUAUAUAAGGUGAGAG